RNAcentral lists this unclassified non-coding RNA (345 nucleotides) under soil metagenome. RNAcentral describes it as "partial contains 5.8S ribosomal RNA, internal transcribed spacer 2, and large subunit ribosomal RNA". The stretch from base 1 to 119 matches the Rfam family "5.8S ribosomal RNA", at positions 35 to 154 of the family's 154-position model. The record is from RNAcentral.
GAUGAAGAACGUAGCGAAAUGCGAUACGUAAUGUGAAUUGCAAAUUCAGUGAAUCAUCGAGUCUUUGAACGCACAUUGCGCCCCCUGGUAUUCCGGGGGGCAUGCCUGUCCGAGCGUCAUUGCUGCCCUCAAGCACGGCUUGUGUGUUGGGCCCCGUCCUCCGAUCCCGGGGGACGGGCCCGAAAGGCAGCGGCGGCACCGCGUCCGGUCCUCGAGCGUAUGGGGCUUUGUCACCCGCUCUGUAGGCCCGGCCGGCGCUUGCCGAUCAACCCAAAUUUUUAUCCUGGUUGACCUCGGAUCAGGUAGGGAUACCCGCUGAACUUAAGCAUAUCAAUAAGCGGAGGA